This 426-nucleotide ribosomal RNA is filed under the name Armina sp. 3 MP-2010. RNAcentral's name for it is "partial 16S ribosomal RNA". It matches the Rfam family "Archaeal large subunit ribosomal RNA", at positions 1921 to 2643 of the family's 2987-position model. Lineage: Eukaryota; Metazoa; Mollusca; Gastropoda; Nudibranchia; Arminidae. The record is from RNAcentral.
AGCCAUAAGUAUUCAUUUAUGGUUUAACCUGCCCAAUGUUAGUUUAAUUAAUGGCCGCGGUACCCUGACCGUGCUAAGGUAGCGUAAUCAGUUGGCUUUUAAAUGGAGUCAGGAAUGAAUGGGAUAACCGGGUCUAACUGUCUCCUAACUAUUUUAUCAAAUUUACUAAUCAGGUGAAAAAGCCUGAAAAUUGAAAAGGGACGAGAAGACCCUUAGAAUUUUAUUUAGAGUGAGCUAGAAGUAACUUGUGCUCAUAAUUAUUUUGUUGGGGUGACAAAGAAAUAUUUACUAACUUUCUUUAAUUUACAUGCCGAGUUUUACUAAGUAAGAAUAAAUUACCUGAGGGAUAACAGCAUAAUUCUAAAGAUGAGUUUGUGACCUCGAUGUUGGACUAGGAAACUAGCAAGCUAGCCGUUUGUUGUGUGG